CAACCCUUAAGCUUAGCUUAGUAUUGGGAAUCUGCUUAACCGCAGCUCCUUAAAUCUAGUUGGCAGAGCACAGCUGUACUCUGAGCGUAGUAAUUCAUUAUCUCGCUUUCUGAAGACAGUUGUACGAUCGCCAUAAACCUAUUUAUUUUUUAAUGG
RNAcentral lists this unclassified non-coding RNA (156 nucleotides) under uncultured Xylariales. RNAcentral's name for it is "sequence contains ITS2". The record is from RNAcentral. Lineage: Eukaryota; Fungi; Ascomycota; Sordariomycetes; Xylariales.